RNAcentral lists this ribosomal RNA (492 nucleotides) under uncultured bacterium. RNAcentral describes it as "partial 16S ribosomal RNA". It matches the Rfam family "Bacterial small subunit ribosomal RNA", at positions 29 to 507 of the family's 1533-position model. The record is from RNAcentral.
AGUGAACGCUGGCGGUAGGCCUAACACAUGCAAGUCGAACGGCAGCACAGUAAGAGCUUGCUCUUACGGGUGGCGAGUGGCGGACGGGUGAGGAAUACAUCGGAAUCUACUUUUUCGUGGGGGAUAACGUAGGGAAACUUACGCUAAUACCGCAUACGACCUACGGUUGAAAGCAGGGGAUCUUCGGACCUUGCGCGAUUGAAUGAGCCGAUGUCGGAUUAGCUAGUUGGCGGGGUAAAGGCCCACCAAGGCGACGAUCCGUAGCUGGUCUGAGAGGAUGAUCAGCCACACUAGAACUGAGACACGGUCCAGACUCCUACGGGAGGCAGCAGUGGGGAAUAUUGGACAAGGGGCGCAAUCCUGAUCCAGCCAUACCGCGUGGGUGAAGAAGGCCUUCGGGUUGUAAAGCCAUUUUGUUGGGAAAGAAAAGCAGCAGGUUAAUACCCCGCUGUUCUGACGGUACCCAAAGAAUAAGCACCGGCUAACUUCGUG